RNAcentral lists this ribosomal RNA (440 nucleotides) under uncultured bacterium. RNAcentral's name for it is "bacterial SSU rRNA". It matches the Rfam family "Bacterial small subunit ribosomal RNA", at positions 339 to 796 of the family's 1533-position model. The record is from RNAcentral.
UUACGGGAGGCAGCAGUGGGGAAUUUUGCGCAAUGGGCGAAAGCCUGACGCAGCAACGCCGCGUGAGGGAUGAAGGCCUUCGGGUCGUAAACCUCUUUCAGCAGGGAUGAAACUGACAGUACCUGCAGAAGAAGCCCCGGCUAACUACGUGCCAGCAGCCGCGGUAAUACGUAGGGGGCAAGCGUUAUCCGGAUUCAUUGGGCGUAAAGAGCGCGUAGGCGGCUUGGUAAGUCAGAUGUGAAAACUGGGGGCUCAACCCGCAGCCUGCAUCUGAAACUGCCAGGCUUGAGUCUGGUAGAGGAAAGUGGAAUUCCCAGUGUAGCGGUGAAAUGCGCAGAUAUUGGGAGGAACACCAGUGGCGAAGGCGGCUUUCUGGGCCACGACUGACGCUGAGGCGCGAAAGCUAGGGGAGCAAACAGGAUUAGAUACCCUGGUAGUCU